This 1832-nucleotide long non-coding RNA is filed under the name Vigna radiata. RNAcentral describes it as "long non-coding RNA (VRAD_LNC003882)". Lineage: Eukaryota; Viridiplantae; Streptophyta; Magnoliopsida; Fabales; Fabaceae. The record is from RNAcentral.
AACCAAAGCAUCUUUAUGCACCAUUACAGGAAAGUAAUUGAAUGAAAGCGCGUUUCCAUUAAUGUGAAUUUUAGUCUUAUUCUUAUCACCAUUCACCCAACGAAUAUAUAUACAUAUACAGAGAGAAAGAAGAGCAUGCACAUUCACUUCCCCUUCCAAGUCAUUAACAGUUCCAAAGGCUGAUGGCUUACUACGGUCAAAAUCCUCCCAUGUCUGGGCCUCCUCCUCCUCCCAUGGGUUAGUUCCUCCACAAAACCUUCUUAACUGUUAUUUCUUUACUCAUUAAUCCAGUUAAUUAUCUCUGUUAAUCAUGAUUUGUGAUUAUUGACGAUGAAAUUAAUGGAAUCCAUGUAGGGUAUCCUCCACCAGGUUAUCAAGGACCUCCUCCUCCGCAACCUCAAGCUUUUGCCACCCAGGCUCCGCCGGCGCAAGGACAGGCGGCUUCAGGAGCUGCUACCGGUGCAAUGGCGGGAUGGUACGUUCUUUCGUAACUACUUUCAUCGCACACAAAUAUACUCUGGUUUUUGUUAAAAGAUCGUUUUUAUUUUCAACUCGAUUUGUUGGUAAAGGAAAAACAAAGAAGAAAAUAAAUGACAGUUUGAUUUUAGAUAAAUAAAAAUAAUUUUAUUUAGAGCUGUUUAACAAGAGUUAUUUGAAAAUAUUGUUAAUAUUAGUCGGAAAAAAAUAUUUGUAUAUAAGAAUCUUUUAAAAUUGUAAAUUGUUGAGCAAUUUCAACAAAAUUUUCUUACAAAAGUUAUUUCAAAUUAAAAUAUUAUAUUAAUGUAACUUUCACACGUAUGAGUUGUUUAAUAUUAAACGAACCUUUAUAUAAAUGAAGACGAAAAGAUUGUUUACUUUUCAAUGGGAUUAAUUCAUACUAAAACAAUAGUUUUAUUAGCAGUAAGGAUCAUGAUUCAUUAAUAUUUAUGUUUUACAUUCAGCUUAUGAUUAUAUGAAUUAUUAUUUUAUUGUAAUAUAAUAUUUGAUUAAGCAAAUAAAUAUUUUUAAUAAUAAUAAUAGUGUCAACAUAUACUUUAUUUAAAAAUAUUAUGUACCGCUGUGUAGACCUACUUGUUUGCAGAACUCUUUAUAACUUGAAAAUAAAAUUAUAUAUACAAUAGUUCUAUUUAGAAUUAAAUGUUUUUUCUUCAAAUUACUUUUAAAAAUUAUAUUUUAUUUUUGAACUAAGUUAAUAUGUAUUUUGUUUUUUAAACUUUAUAGAAGUCAUGUAUGAUGUUCACUGAGAAAGAUAUUUUACAAUAUUUUGUAGAAAAUAAAGAUAAUAUAAAGAAUAUAUAUAUAUUUAAAAAGUAAAACAUUUUUUAAAAAUAAUUUGAAAAUAAACGUAUAUGUAACUUUUUUAUUUAUAUUCGUUACAUUAACCAAAUUAAUGGAAUGACGUGACUGUUAAAUAUUUUCUCUAUUUUAAUUUAUUUCUACUCUGUUUUUUCUUUUUCUUUAUCAAUCACAUUAGAAAAUAGAUAUAUGUCAUUAUGUUUAAUUUGUUUAUCUUUAUUGGUUGAACAUAAAUAUCUUUAUACUUAUUUGUUUUAAUUUUUUUGUUUUUAGCCUUGGCGCGUUGGGUUGCCUUUGUUGUCUAGAAUUGUGCUGCUGCAUGGAGUGCUUGGAUGCGUGUUGUUGAUCUUCAUCAAUCAAUCUUUCCUUUUUCUCUUUUAACUUAUAUGUGGAACUUUAAAUUUUGGUGUUCUUCUCUCCUUUUAAAAUAGAAUUCAGUAUUUGCAACCUUUAAUUUUCUUCUUCACUUUUAGUUUGACCAACGCACUUUGCAUUAAUUACAUAUGUUUAUGGUAAUUUCCUGCUUUCAAUUUACC